RNAcentral lists this ribosomal RNA (658 nucleotides) under uncultured bacterium. RNAcentral describes it as "bacterial SSU rRNA". It matches the Rfam family "Bacterial small subunit ribosomal RNA", at positions 97 to 773 of the family's 1533-position model. The record is from RNAcentral.
GGCGGACGGGUGAGUAACGCGUGGGUAACCUGCCUUAUACUGGGGGAUAACAUUCUGAAAAGGAUGCUAAUACCGCAUAAGCGCACAGUGUCGCAUGACACAGUGUGAAAAACUCCGGUGGUAUAAGAUGGACCCGCGUCUGAUUAGCUAGUUGGUGAGAUAAUAGCUCACCAAGGCAACGAUCAGUAGCCGACCUGAGAGGGUGAUCGGCCACAUUGGGACUGAGACACGGCCCAAACUCCUACGGGAGGCAGCAGUGGGGAAUAUUGCACAAUGGGGGAAACCCUGAUGCAGCGACGCCGCGUGAAGGAUGAAGGUUUUCGGAUCGUAAACUUCUAUCAGCAGGGAAGAAAAUGACUGUACCUGACUAAGAAGCCCCGGCUAACUACGUGCCAGCAGCCGCGGUAAUACGUAGGGGGCAAGCGUUAUCCGGAAUUACUGGGUGUAAAGGGUGCGUAGGCGGUUUGCUAAGUUAGGUGUGAAAGCCCGGGGCUCAACCUCGGGACUGCACUUAAAACUGGCAAACUAGAAUACAGGAGAGGUAAGUGGAAUUCCUAGUGUAGCGGUGAAAUGCGUAGAUAUUAGGAGGAACACCAGUGGCGAAGGCGACUUACUGGACUGUUAUUGACGCUGAGGCACGAAAGCGUGGGGAGCGAAC